Molecule: ribosomal RNA, 325 nt
Filed under: uncultured eukaryote
Lineage: Eukaryota
Description: partial 18S ribosomal RNA
Rfam family: Eukaryotic small subunit ribosomal RNA
Source: RNAcentral
CCCUUAGAUGUUCUGGGCUGCACGCGCGCUACACUGAUGCAUGCAACGAGUUUUCGACCUUGCCUGAAAAGGUUGGGUAAUCUGUUUAACAUGUGUCGUGAUGGGGAUAGACCAUUGCAAUUAUUGAUCUUGAACGAGGAAUUCCUAGUAAACGCGAGUCAUCAGCUCGCAUUGAUUACGUCCCUGCCCUUUGUACACACCGCCCGUCGCACCUACCGAUUGAAUGUUUCGGUGAAGAUUCCGGAUAGGACUUUUUUGAUUUAUUUCAAUUCUGUCUUAAAAGCUAUCUAAACCUCAACAUUUAGAGGAAGGUGAAGUCGUAACA